RNAcentral lists this ribosomal RNA (501 nucleotides) under uncultured bacterium. RNAcentral's name for it is "partial 16S ribosomal RNA". It matches the Rfam family "Bacterial small subunit ribosomal RNA", at positions 30 to 523 of the family's 1533-position model. The record is from RNAcentral.
AUUGAACGCUGGCGGCAUGCCUUACACAUGCAAGUCGAACGGCAGCACGGGUGCUUGCACCUGGUGGCGAGUGGCGAACGGGUGAGUAAUACAUCGGAACGUACCUUAUCGUGGGGGAUAACGCAGCGAAAGUUGCGCUAAUACCGCAUACGCCCUGAGGGGGAAAGCGGGGGACCGUAAGGCCUCGCGCGAUUAGAGCGGCCGAUGUCUGAUUAGCUUGUUGGUGAGGUAAAAGCUCACCAAGGCGAUGAUCAGUAGCUGGUCUGAGAGGACGAUCAGCCACACUGGGACUGAGACACGGUCCAGACUCCUACGGGAGGCAGCAGUGGGGAAUUUUGGACAAUGGGGGCAACCCUGAUCCAGUAAUGCCGCGUGAGUGAACAAGGCCUUCGGGUUGUAAAGCUCUUUUGUCAGGGAAGAAACAGCAGCUCUAACACAGUCUGCGAAUGACGGUACCUGAAGAAUAAGCACCGGCUAACUACGUGCCAGCCGCCGCCGUAA